RNAcentral lists this ribosomal RNA (809 nucleotides) under uncultured bacterium. RNAcentral's name for it is "bacterial SSU rRNA". It matches the Rfam family "Bacterial small subunit ribosomal RNA", at positions 1 to 810 of the family's 1533-position model. The record is from RNAcentral.
GAAUUCGCCCUUAGAGUUUGAUCCUGGCUCAGGACUAACGCUGGCGGCGUGCCUAAUACAUGCAAGUCGAACGGUCGUGCGUUUGUAGCAAUAUGGACGUACGAUAGUGGCGAACGGGUGAGUAACACGUGGAAAACCUACCCUCGAGCGGGGGAUAACUCCGGGAAACUGGGACUAAUACCGCAUGACAUCCCAACCUGGCAUCGGGAGGGGAUCAAAGCCGAAAGGCACUUGAGGAUGGUUCCGCGGCCUAUCAGCUAGUUGGCGGGGUAACGGCCCACCAAGGCGACGACGGGUAGCCGGCCUGAGAGGGCGAUCGGCCACAAGGGGACUGAGACACGGCCCCUACUCCUACGGGAGGCAGCAGUAGGGAAUUUUGCUCAAUGGGGGAAACCCUGAAGCAGCGACGCCGCGUGGGCGACGAAAUCCUUCGGGAUGUAAAGCCCUUUUAACCGGGACGAAAUACAUGACGGUACCGGUGGAAUAAGCCUCGGCUAACUCCGUGCCAGCAGCCGCGGUAAGACGGGGGAGGCAAGCGUUGUCCGGAAUCACUGGGUGUAAAGGGCGUGUAGGCGGGCCGGCUAGUCGGUUGUUAAAUCUCUCCGCUCAACGGAGAAGCUGCGGCCGAUACUUCCGGUCUUGAGUGCGGCAGGGGAGGAUGGAAUUCCUGGUGUAGCGGUGAAAUGCGUAGAUAUCAGGAGGAACACCGGUGGCGAAGGCGGUCCUCUGGGCCUGCACUGACGCUGAGUGCGCGAAAGCUGGGGUAGCAAACAGAAUUAGAUACUCUGGUAGUCCCAGCCCUAAACGAU